RNAcentral lists this ribosomal RNA (250 nucleotides) under Typhlops sp. SBH-2014a. Its description in RNAcentral is "partial 16S ribosomal RNA". It matches the Rfam family "Bacterial large subunit ribosomal RNA", at positions 1797 to 2102 of the family's 2925-position model. Lineage: Eukaryota; Metazoa; Chordata; Lepidosauria; Squamata; Typhlopidae. The record is from RNAcentral.
CGCCUGUUUAUCAAAAACAUAGCCUUUAGCCAGACAAGUAUUGAAGGUAAUGCCUGCCCAGUGAAGCCACUUUCAACGGCCGCGGUACCCUAACCGUGCAAAGGUAGCGUAAUCACUUGUCCACUAAUUAUGGACCUGUAUGAAAGGCCACAUGAGAAUCUAACUGUCUCUUGUAACUAAUUUAUAAAACUGAUCUUCCAGUCCAAAAGCUAGAAUACCCAUAUAAGACGAGAAGACCCUGUGAAGCUUA